UCCCAAACACUCUCAUUCCUGAAACCCUAACCCUCGCGACGACUGACACUAUCGCUUCCUCCUCCAACUGCCGCCUCCAUAAAGCCAUCACCCGCAGCCGGCCCACCUCAACCCUUCCUGUCGCCCUCUCCCCCCCUUUGCCUCCACACCCCAGACAAGAGGUCUGCAACAUAUUGCAGAACAACAAUCACUAUCUCUUCGCCUUCCCACUCGCGAAGCAAAUUUGAAACUCAUCUCUCUCUCAAUGGGUAUUUUGCGAAGGUAAGGGGAGGUUGCGGUUGCGGGAUUCAUUGGGAAGACGGCGGUUUUGGAGCGGGGUUGAUUGAUGGCAGACGGCGGAGAGGUUGUCGGGGUUGCCAAGGAGGGUGGGGGAGCACCUCGGGGUGGU
RNAcentral lists this long non-coding RNA (388 nucleotides) under Actinidia chinensis (golden kiwifruit). RNAcentral describes it as "long non-coding RNA (ACHI_LNC000936)". Lineage: Eukaryota; Viridiplantae; Streptophyta; Magnoliopsida; Ericales; Actinidiaceae. The record is from RNAcentral.